GUAUUUCAGGCCUCCGGCCCAUAUACAUUGGAGUAACAUGCAUUAUACAAUCACAUACAGCUUGAAUACAGAGAUGAUUUUAACAGAAUAUCACGCUUAGACAUUGCAUUGUAAAUGUAUUGUGAUCGUUUUAAGUUUAUACAGUUGUCAUAAGUAGACAGGAAUUGUUUAAAUGCCACAGUUGGUGACUUGGAGAGGUAACAUUCAGGAAUAUAACAUUUUCAAAUUCGU
Haliotis rubra (blacklip abalone) is the source of this 231-nucleotide long non-coding RNA. RefSeq lists it as uncharacterized. The transcript is spliced from 3 exons. The record is from RefSeq and is a predicted model, not a curated record. Lineage: Eukaryota; Metazoa; Mollusca; Gastropoda; Lepetellida; Haliotidae.